RNAcentral lists this transfer RNA (72 nucleotides) under Trichobilharzia regenti. It matches the Rfam family "tRNA". From Rfam's summary of the family: Transfer RNA (tRNA) molecules are approximately 80 nucleotides in length. Their secondary structure includes four short double-helical elements and three loops (D, anti-codon, and T loops). The record is from Rfam by way of RNAcentral. Lineage: Eukaryota; Metazoa; Platyhelminthes; Trematoda; Strigeidida; Schistosomatidae.
GAGGAUGUAGCUCAGUGGUAGAGCGCUCGCUUCACAUGCGAGAGGUCCCGGGUUCGAUCCCCGGCAUCUCCA